This 234-nucleotide unclassified non-coding RNA is filed under the name uncultured fungus. Its description in RNAcentral is "sequence contains ITS1". Lineage: Eukaryota; Fungi. The record is from RNAcentral.
GUAUUGAUUGCGUGUGAUCGCAAAUAAAAUAAAAGACAUUCUACACUACUUCAAGUUUGUGUUAAAACGCAAGCCCCCCUUCUGGACGAGCCAGAGAGGGACCCACGCGGUGGUGCACAAAGGGUGAGAUGGAUUGUGUGAGAGCACUUGGGCGUGCACGACCGAAAAGGUCAGCGACAGCCCUCGCACCUCGGUUUUACAAUAAUGAUCCUUCCGCAGGUUCACCUACGGAAA